This is a long non-coding RNA of Rhinolophus ferrumequinum (greater horseshoe bat), 1745 nucleotides long. RefSeq lists it as uncharacterized. The record is from RefSeq and is a predicted model, not a curated record. Lineage: Eukaryota; Metazoa; Chordata; Mammalia; Chiroptera; Rhinolophidae. The transcript has 3 exons.
CUAUGACCCAAGAGGGAGCCUGGCCUGAAUCGAGAGCAGAAGAUAAAUGGGUUCCUUGGCUAGGAUGUCUUUGCUGCUGGGAGAGGGAGAUCAGCAGGCAGCUGUGCCCGCUUAGCCCCUUGUGCAAGGAGCACCCACACAUGUGUGUGAAGAAAAGCACUGCUUUUAAGAGCAAUUCUCUCUGCACGAAAACUGAAUGUCUGCAACAGAGGGACGUAAAUGAAAAACAGUAUGUCCACAGCUUGGAACAUCAUGAAGCAAUGAAAAGAAUAAGCACCAGAGAUGUGUUCAGUCAUGGAAAGAUACCAAGACAUAUUAUUGAGUAGAAAACUGAUGACGCGGCAGGAGAAAGAAGAAAUAACCUUAAGGAAACACCAAUUUCCUCAGUUCUAUCCAUGCUUCAGUUUGGAACCUAAAUGAACAAAAAUAGACAUCCCAUUGAGUUACUUAGACUCUUCAGGGAGGAAGGCUGGGGGUGGGACAGGGCGAUUUUAGACUACAGACACGCCAGCAACUUCAGGAUGUUCCCACGAUACUGGCUACAUUUGUUAAAAAUACCUUCAAUUCCAAAAAUUACAAAGAGUGCAACUAAUCCUGUUCAUUAAAGCCAAGAAAAACACACCAAGUCACACACAAUGUAUGGCUGAAAGAGAGGGAUUUCCACCAAGAAGAGGAACAUGCAGCAGCCCUGCAGGUCAGGCUGGUCCUACACGCCACGUGCUCUGCCCUACACCCAGACAGCGGAGCCCAGCUCCUCCCUGGAAACAGGCUCAGGUGCCUCCAAGAUCUUCUCCACCCCCACCCCCACCCGGCCUGAACUUCAUCCCAAAGAGGCUGCUUUUAUGCCUACCAGCAUCUUCACCCAGGCACCAGGAACAGCCCUUGACUCUAUACCUAGAGAAAAAAGCAAAUCACUGCUUUAGAGUGCUUCCCACUCCCUCAUCACACGCAGGAGUAGAGGGCCAUACGACUGUAGAAUGACAGGCACAGGAAACACAAUGUUCCCGGUGACAAGAACAGCCUGUGGACUGGGCAUGCCUUUGACAUACAACCACUGGCUUGAUCCUACAGAACUCUGUGAAGGAGAUUGUGAGCCCAUCUCUCAGGUAGGACAUCCUGAGGCUCCGAGGUGGUCCAGGCAGACUGUGCUGCUGCAAGGUGGUGGCCAGACCCUGAGUCAGGCUGCCAUCUUCUGAGCAUCGCCUUGCUAUGCCUUCCCUCCCACUGGCACGGCAGCUUCUCCCAACUUCGGUGGGGUCUGCUCACUCAGGGCUCCUUCCUCCCCUGCUCCGUGCCCAGCGGCCCCCGGGGAGCACUGCCCAGCCAAAGCUCCUGAAGGAACUUAUCCUGCAGGAAAGGGGCAGGGUCUUUCAGAGGGAGAACUUCUGCCUGGGCCUUCCUUCUGCCCGUCAACCCCCAACUUCAGUUGCGCUCUCCUGCUGGUCUGCAGCAACGGGUGUGUCUGCCAGUGACCCGAGGUGAUCUCGCUGGAGAGCCCGGGUGAGGCAGCACAGGGCCGCUGGCCGGCCCAGGGACCAGCAGGAACAACCUGCACAUCCACAUUCUCACCGGUGGCUCUCUGCAGACUCUCUGCAGGGCCCUCCUCAGCUCAGCACGCCCACUCCUCCCCAUGUGCGGGGGCAGCGUGUGCUGGAACCCCCGUGGCCAAGCUCACGCUGUGACCUAGCCUCUCUGAGCCUCACAUUUACUUUUGUAAAAAAUGUUUUAAUAGAUUGAAUUUUAAA